Molecule: ribosomal RNA, 534 nt
Filed under: uncultured bacterium
Lineage: Bacteria
Description: bacterial SSU rRNA
Rfam family: Bacterial small subunit ribosomal RNA
Source: RNAcentral
CAGCCAUGCCGCGUGAGUGAAGAAGGCCUUCGGGUUGUAAAGCUCUUUCGGCUGGGAAGAAAUCGCACAGGCUAAUACUCUGUGUGGAUGACGGUACCAGCACAAGAAGCACCGGCUAACUACGUGCCAGCAGCCGCGGUAAUACGUAGGGUGCGAGCGUUAAUCGGAAUUACUGGGCGUAAAGCGUGCGCAGGCGGUUGUGCAAGACAGAUGUGAAAUCCCCGGGCUCAACCUGGGAACUGCAUUUGUGACUGCACGACUAGAGUACGGCAGAGGGGGGUAGAAUUCCACGUGUAGCAGUGAAAUGCGUAGAGAUGUGGAGGAAUACCGAUGGCGAAGGCAGCCCCCUGGGCCGAUACUGACGCUCAUGCACGAAAGCGUGGGGAGCAAACAGGAUUAGAUACCCUGGUAGUCCACGCCCUAAACGAUGUCAACUAGUUGUUGGUAGGGUUAAACCUAUUAGUAACGUACCUAACGCGUGAAGUUGACCGCCUGGGGAGUACGGUCGCAAGAUUAAAACUCAAAGAAUUUGAC